Acanthosepion pharaonis is the source of this 108-nucleotide non-coding RNA. The record is from the annotation of a GenBank genome assembly. Lineage: Eukaryota; Metazoa; Mollusca; Cephalopoda; Sepiida; Sepiidae.
CCAUAUUAUGUUGAAACUCCAGUUCUCAUACGAUCACUGAAAUUAAGCAACAUUGAACCUGGUCAGUACCUAGAUGGGUGACUGCUUAGGAAUAUUAGUUGAUGUAAG